GACGAACGCUGGCGGCGUGCCUAAUACAUGCAAGUUGAGCGAUGAAGAUUGGUGCUUGCACCAAUUUGAAGAGCAGCGAACGGGUGAGUAACGCGUGGGGAAUCUGCCUUUGAGCGGGGGACAACAUUUGGAAACGAAUGCUAAUACCGCAUAACAACUUUAAACAUAAGUUUUAAGUUUGAAAGAUGCAAUUGCAUCACUCAAAGAUGAUCCCGCGUUGUAUUAGCUAGUUGGUGAGGUAAAGGCUCACCAAGGCGAUGAUACAUAGCCGACCUGAGAGGGUGAUCGGCCACAUUGGGACUGGGACACGGCCCAAACUCCUACGGGAGGCAGCAGUAGGGAAUCUUCGGCAAUGGACGAAAGUCUGACCGAGCAACGCCGCGUGAGUGAAGAAGGGUUUCGGAUCGUAAAACUCUGUUGGUAGAGAAGAACGUUGGUGAGAGUGGAAAGCUCAUCAAGUGACGGUAACUACACAGAAAGGGACGGCUAACUACGUG
Molecule: ribosomal RNA, 497 nt
Filed under: uncultured bacterium
Lineage: Bacteria
Description: partial 16S ribosomal RNA
Rfam family: Bacterial small subunit ribosomal RNA
Source: RNAcentral